UACGGAGGGUGCAAGCGUUAUCCGGAUUUAUUGGGUUUAAAGGGUGCGCAGGCGGAACUUUAAGUCAGUGGUGAAAGCCCGAGGCUCAACCUCGGAACUGCCAUUGAUACUGAUGUUCUUGAAUGUAGUUGAUGUGGGCGGAAUGUGCCAUGUAGCGGUGAAAUGCUUAGAUAUGGCACAGAACACCGAUCGUGAAGACAGCUCACAAAACUAUUAUUGACGCUCAGGCACGAAAGCGUGGGGAUCAAACAGGAUUAGAUACCCUGGUAGUCCACGCUGUAAACGUUGAUCACUCGACAUUGGCGAUAUACGGUCAGUGUCCAAGCGAAAGUGUUUAGUGAUCCACCUGGGGAGUACGCCCGCAAGGGUG
RNAcentral lists this ribosomal RNA (370 nucleotides) under uncultured prokaryote. RNAcentral's name for it is "bacterial SSU rRNA". It matches the Rfam family "Bacterial small subunit ribosomal RNA", at positions 524 to 896 of the family's 1533-position model. The record is from RNAcentral.